Molecule: transfer RNA, 72 nt
Filed under: Candidatus Daviesbacteria bacterium RIFCSPLOWO2_01_FULL_39_12
Lineage: Bacteria; Candidatus Daviesiibacteriota
Description: tRNA-Ala
Rfam family: tRNA
About the family: Transfer RNA (tRNA) molecules are approximately 80 nucleotides in length. Their secondary structure includes four short double-helical elements and three loops (D, anti-codon, and T loops). Further hydrogen bonds mediate the characteristic L-shaped molecular structure. tRNAs have two regions of fundamental functional importance: the anti-codon, which is responsible for specific mRNA codon recognition, and the 3' end, to which the tRNAs corresponding amino acid is attached (by aminoacyl-tRNA synthetases). tRNAs cope with the degeneracy of the genetic code in two manners: having more than one tRNA (with a specific anti-codon) for a particular amino acid; and 'wobble' base-pairing, i.e. permitting non-standard base-pairing at the 3rd anti-codon position.
Source: RNAcentral
GGGCCAGUAGCAGAGUGGUAAUGCGCCUCUCUCGCACAGAGGAGAUCAGCGGUCCGAUUCCGCUCUGGUCCA